RNAcentral lists this ribosomal RNA (96 nucleotides) under uncultured bacterium. RNAcentral describes it as "partial 16S ribosomal RNA". The record is from RNAcentral.
CCCGUCACACCAUGGGAGUCGAUUGCUCCAGAAGUGGCUGCGCCAACCUUCGCAAGGAGGAGGCAGGUCCCCAAGGAGUGCUCGGUAACUGGGGUG